AUUGAACGCUGGCGGCAUGCCUUACACAUGCAAGUCGAACGGUAACGGGCCUUCGGGUGCCGACGAGUGGCGCACGGGUGAGUAAUACAUCGGAACGUGCCCGAUCGUGGGGGAUAACGAGGCGAAAGCUUUGCUAAUACCGCAUACGAUCUACGGAUGAAAGCAGGGGACCGCAAGGCCUUGCGCGGACGGGGCGGCCGAUGGCAGAUUAGGUAGUUGGUGGGAUAAAAGCUUACCAAGCCGACGAUCUGUAGCUGGGCUGAGAGGAUGGUCAGCCACACUGGGACUGAGACACGGCCCAGACUCCUACGGGAGGCAGCAGUGGGGAAUUUUGGACAAUGGGCGCAAGCCUGAUCCAGCCAUGCCGCGUGCAGGAUGAAGGCCUUCGGGUUGUAAACUGCUUUUGUACGGAACGAAAAGCCUUCUUUUAAUACAGGAGGGUCAUGACGGUACCGUAAGAAUAAGCACCGGCUAACUACGUG
RNAcentral lists this ribosomal RNA (482 nucleotides) under uncultured bacterium. RNAcentral describes it as "partial 16S ribosomal RNA". It matches the Rfam family "Bacterial small subunit ribosomal RNA", at positions 30 to 507 of the family's 1533-position model. The record is from RNAcentral.